AAUAAAAUAUUACUAAAUUAAGCUAUACAAUUCAUUUUGAUUGAUCGUGUUAUUUUAUGAGUUGAAUAUAAUAUCCAGUGACUCUUUUGUUUUACCACUAUUCAGUAAUAAUCGAAAUAGAAGUACUUAUUUUUUUACCUCUGAAGUAGUUGCCUUCAAUCAUAUACUCCAUUAUGUAUGACAUAUAGUAAGGAAAUAUCAUGAAUAAUUGAUUCUCAAUUAUCUUCAUUGUAACUACAAAGAAGAAAUAUAAUCAUUGACUUUGUAAAAAAAAGUAAUGUAAUUUUUAGUUUAGAUAAUAAAAAAUAUAUAGUAAUUUCUUAGCUUUAGCUCGUGUAAUGCAACGUAGCAAAUGAUAGACGUCUUUUGGUAUAUUUGUCCUAAUAAUGAAACGUAUGAUAUUAUUCAGGUUAUCUAGUGUAUCAUUUUGCAAUUUUUGAGUUAAUGGUGGUGUGACCACGCCAAAAUUGCAUGUUGUGACAUCACGUCUUACAUAUAUAUUUUCUUUGUUAACAUAAGACACAGCUUUUAUUUCAUCAAAUAGAUCAAAGAAGUACUGGAUAAUUUUCGUGUAAAAGUUUAGAUUUAGUUAUUUGAUUAAUCAAGUUCACAAAUCAACUACUAUUAACACAAUUAUACAAUUUCAAACUAACUAAAUUAUAAUCCUUGCCAAAGAACUUAAUCGAUAUUCUUUUAAUUUUGUUCUUGGCAACUCAAUCAACCUUGUGAUUUUCUCAUUUCGUUUCAUCAUUCAAUCUUCUAGAGUUUCAGUACAUGUUGCAUUUAGUUUUCUAUCUUUGUUGGAAUUGUGUGUGUGUCGUGAAGAACUAGUUAUUAAGUACCAACGAAUAAAUGAAAAGAAGUUAGAGCAAGAUAAAAGAAAAUGGUGUGGAUUUGGUGGACAAUUUGAAGAAAAGAAACUAAGAGCAAUGUAAAUUGUAAGGAGGAUCGUCCUUUAUACAACUAGGAGUGUGUAGUAGUCAUACAAAGGAGUGUCUUCCUUACAAUUUUCAUUGCUCUAUAGUUUCUUUUCUUCCAAUUGCCGGCCAAACCCGCAACAUUUUUCUUUCUCUUACUCUUAACUUUUUUUCAUUUAUUUUUUGGUACCUUAUUGACUUGUUCUUCACAACAAACACAUAAUUCCGAUGAAGAUAGAAUAAUAAAUGCAUCAUAUAAGUAGACACGUAAUUUUAUUCCUCCCAAAAAUUUAAUUUAUUCAUUUUUACCUCGCGUUGUCAUACGCUUGUGAUUAUCCCUUCAUAAAAUGACAAAAAAUAACAACUUUUAACAAAUUUUAUCUUAUUUAAAUCAUCCUAACCUAUCUCUACCCCUCCCUACUCACCACCCCACACCCCCAACCCUAACCCACGUCACCCCAAUCCAUUUUCUCUCUCACGUUUUUUCUUCUUUUCCAUAACAAAAUUACACAUACAGCUAAAAGGAAUGAGGGCCCACAGGGAAUAUUUACCUCAACAGAAUACACACACUCACCACCAGAAAUUCCCUCACGAAUUCACACACACACAUACAUAGUACCACUUUUCCAUUUCCAAAACAAGAAUUCACUCACUGAAAUUCCCAUAGUACAUAGACAUCACUCAUCUUCAACCCCACACAAUUCUCUCACCAUACGCGCACACCACCGCCGUAGACGAGGCACUUACAGAAAAGCUCACCAAAAUUCAUCCACACACAGAGAGUUCGUGAGACCACACAGAUGGGGAGAGGAGCGAUUUGAUGAGAAGAAAGAAAGGGGAUCUGGGCUCUUCUUCUUUACGCACACACAACACACAAAAUCAUCGAGAAACUAUGAAGGCUCAUCAAAAUAACCCAACCAGUGCCUAAAUCCCCAGACAUCUCGUCAGUGUUGUUGAGUUUUAGGCGAAAUCCUUCCGAAAAUGGUAUCUCACUAGCUCGUUAGUCCUAAACCGUCCAUUCGAGCUGAGUCCGGCGAGGUCUCGUCGGAAAUCAUCACACGGGUUCUCGGUUUCGUUUUGGUUUCGGGCUGUUUCGUCUAUUCUGCGCAAUUUUUGUUCGAACUGGUGAAAAGCAGAGAUACUGAGGCUGAGUUGAUUCGUGGAGGUUGGCUCGAGGUUUUCGGCGCGGACUCUGUUUUGUUCAACAGGAUAAUAUUCGAAUAAAAAUAAUAUCGAGUAUUUGAAAAGUGUAUUCAUUUGGCUGGGAAAUGUCCCGAGGUAUUUGUAUUUAUUCACCGAGGAAUGCCCCGACGUACUAUGUUGGCGAAAAAUGAUUGUGAUGAAGGUCCAAGGCAUCGGGUAAAACAACGGAGUUUACCCUAGGACUAGUUUAGAAUAGGAUUUAUAUUUUUUCAUUUUUCUGUUUCGGUUUGUAAUAAUUAGACUGGACAUUAUGAUUUUGGAUUUGUUUUUUUGUUGGUUUGAUUGAUUGUUUUGUGUGUUUU
Capsicum annuum is the source of this 2422-nucleotide long non-coding RNA. RefSeq lists it as uncharacterized. The transcript has 2 exons. Lineage: Eukaryota; Viridiplantae; Streptophyta; Magnoliopsida; Solanales; Solanaceae. The record is from RefSeq and is a predicted model, not a curated record.